Molecule: ribosomal RNA, 2902 nt
Filed under: Klebsiella pneumoniae
Lineage: Bacteria; Pseudomonadati; Pseudomonadota; Gammaproteobacteria; Enterobacterales; Enterobacteriaceae
Also listed under: 1 other name
Description: 23S ribosomal RNA
Rfam family: Bacterial large subunit ribosomal RNA
Source: RNAcentral
GGUUAAGCGACUAAGCGUACACGGUGGAUGCCCUGGCAGUCAGAGGCGAUGAAGGACGUGCUAAUCUGCGAAAAGCGUCGGUAAGGUGAUAUGAACCGUUACAGCCGGCGAUGUCCGAAUGGGGAAACCCAGUGCAAUUCGUUGCACUAUCGUUAACUGAAUACAUAGGUUAACGAGGCGAACCGGGGGAACUGAAACAUCUAAGUACCCCGAGGAAAAGAAAUCAACCGAGAUUCCCCCAGUAGCGGCGAGCGAACGGGGAGCAGCCCAGAGUCUGAAUCAGCUUGUGUGUUAGUGGAACGGUCUGGAAAGUCCGACGGUACAGGGUGAUAGUCCCGUACACCAAAAUGCACAGGCUGUGAACUCGAAGAGUAGGGCGGGACACGUGGUAUCCUGUCUGAAUAUGGGGGGACCAUCCUCCAAGGCUAAAUACUCCUGACUGACCGAUAGUGAACCAGUACCGUGAGGGAAAGGCGAAAAGAACCCCGGCGAGGGGAGUGAAAAAGAACCUGAAACCGUGUACGUACAAGCAGUGGGAGCACCUUCGGGUGUGACUGCGUACCUUUUGUAUAAUGGGUCAGCGACUUAUAUUCUGUAGCAAGGUUAACCGUAUAGGGGAGCCGCAGGGAAACCGAGUCUUAACUGGGCGUUAAGUUGCAGGGUAUAGACCCGAAACCCGGUGAUCUAGCCAUGGGCAGGUUGAAGGUUGGGUAACACUAACUGGAGGACCGAACCGACUAAUGUUGAAAAAUUAGCGGAUGACUUGUGGCUGGGGGUGAAAGGCCAAUCAAACCGGGAGAUAGCUGGUUCUCCCCGAAAGCUAUUUAGGUAGCGCCUCGUGAAUUCAUCUUCGGGGGUAGAGCACUGUUUCGGCUAGGGGGUCAUCCCGACUUACCAACCCGAUGCAAACUACGAAUACCGAAGAAUGUUAUCACGGGAGACACACGGCGGGUGCUAACGUCCGUCGUGAAGAGGGAAACAACCCAGACCGCCAGCUAAGGUCCCAAAGUCAUGGUUAAGUGGGAAACGAUGUGGGAAGGCACAGACAGCCAGGAUGUUGGCUUAGAAGCAGCCAUCAUUUAAAGAAAGCGUAAUAGCUCACUGGUCGAGUCGGCCUGCGCGGAAGAUGUAACGGGGCUAAACCAUGCACCGAAGCUGCGGCAGCGACACUAUGUGUUGUUGGGUAGGGGAGCGUUCUGUAAGCCUGCGAAGGUGACCUGUGAGGGUUGCUGGAGGUAUCAGAAGUGCGAAUGCUGACAUAAGUAACGAUAAAGCGGGUGAAAAGCCCGCUCGCCGGAAGACCAAGGGUUCCUGUCCAACGUUAAUCGGGGCAGGGUGAGUCGACCCCUAAGGCGAGGCCGAAAGGCGUAGUCGAUGGGAAACAGGUUAAUAUUCCUGUACUUGGUGUUACUGCGAAGGGGGGACGGAGAAGGCUAUGUUAGCCGGGCGACGGUUGUCCCGGUUUAAGCAUGUAGGCUGAUUGUCCAGGCAAAUCCGGAUAAUCAAGGCUGAGGUGUGAUGACGAGGCACUACGGUGCUGAAGUAACAAAUGCCCUGCUUCCAGGAAAAGCCUCUAAGCAUCAGGUAACAUUAAAUCGUACCCCAAACCGACACAGGUGGUCAGGUAGAGAAUACCAAGGCGCUUGAGAGAACUCGGGUGAAGGAACUAGGCAAAAUGGUGCCGUAACUUCGGGAGAAGGCACGCUGGUGUGUAGGUGAAGCCCCUGCGGGUGGAGCUGAGACCAGUCGAAGAUACCAGCUGGCUGCAACUGUUUAUUAAAAACACAGCACUGUGCAAACACGAAAGUGGACGUAUACGGUGUGACGCCUGCCCGGUGCCGGAAGGUUAAUUGAUGGGGUUAUCCGUAAGGAGAAGCUCUUGAUCGAAGCCCCGGUAAACGGCGGCCGUAACUAUAACGGUCCUAAGGUAGCGAAAUUCCUUGUCGGGUAAGUUCCGACCUGCACGAAUGGCGUAAUGAUGGCCAGGCUGUCUCCACCCGAGACUCAGUGAAAUUGAACUCGCUGUGAAGAUGCAGUGUACCCGCGGCAAGACGGAAAGACCCCGUGAACCUUUACUAUAGCUUGACACUGAACAUUGAGCCUUGAUGUGUAGGAUAGGUGGGAGGCUUUGAAGCGUGGACGCCAGUCUGCGUGGAGCCAACCUUGAAAUACCACCCUUUAAUGUUUGAUGUUCUAACGUUGGCCCCUUACCGGGGUUGCGGACAGUGUCUGGUGGGUAGUUUGACUGGGGCGGUCUCCUCCCAAAGCGUAACGGAGGAGCACGAAGGUUAGCUAAUCCUGGUCGGACAUCAGGAGGUUAGUGCAAUGGCAUAAGCUAGCUUGACUGCGAGCGUGACGGCGCGAGCAGGUGCGAAAGCAGGUCAUAGUGAUCCGGUGGUUCUGAAUGGAAGGGCCAUCGCUCAACGGAUAAAAGGUACUCCGGGGAUAACAGGCUGAUACCGCCCAAGAGUUCAUAUCGACGGCGGUGUUUGGCACCUCGAUGUCGGCUCAUCACAUCCUGGGGCUGAAGUAGGUCCCAAGGGUAUGGCUGUUCGCCAUUUAAAGUGGUACGCGAGCUGGGUUUAGAACGUCGUGAGACAGUUCGGUCCCUAUCUGCCGUGGGCGCUGGAGAAUUGAGGGGGGCUGCUCCUAGUACGAGAGGACCGGAGUGGACGCAUCACUGGUGUUCGGGUUGUCAUGCCAAUGGCACUGCCCGGUAGCUAAAUGCGGAAGAGAUAAGUGCUGAAAGCAUCUAAGCACGAAACUUGCCCCGAGAUGAGUUCUCCCUGAGACUUUAAGUCUCCUGAAGGAACGUUGAAGACGACGACGUUGAUAGGCCGGGUGUGUAAGCGCAGCGAUGCGUUGAGCUAACCGGUACUAAUGAACCGUGAGGCUUAACCUU